AGAGAGAGAGAGAGAGAGAGAGAGAGAGAGAGAGAGAGAGAGAGAAUGUGUGUCUUCGCAGUGGAGAAUGCUGUAAGGGGGAUUAUUUCAACCACUAAUGAUAGUAGUAACAACUUUAUGUAGCAAUUUGCAGUUUACAAAAUACAUUUAUAUAUGUCAUCUUACUUAAUCUUCCUAGCAGUGGUCCUCACUCGUCACUCCUUAGUCUCCUUUGUUGGUUACUCCACUUUAUGUAGACAUUUUAACAUUGGAGUGCUCUGAGGUUCAUUUCUUUGUUCUCAUCUUGGGGUUUACACUUACUCCCUUGGUUAUUUCAUUCAGUUUCAUGGCUGAAAAUAGCAUCUAUGUACCAUAAUUUUUUAAAGCUGCGUCUCUAUUUCAGGAAGGUCUUUUGAAUUCCAGAUUUGUAGAAAAAGAUAUAAGUCAGUACUGCCUACUUGACAUCUCUACCAAGACGUCUAAUAAACUUUAACUAACACAUCCAAAGCUGUGAUCUCUAUCUCUUCACAUCCUCUUAAAUAUGAAGCCCAUCUCACCUGUAGCCUUUACCACCUGAGAUAGUGGCGACUCCACCAUUCCAGUCACUCUUUAAUAUGUUGCAGUGAUAGACAAGCCUUCUUCCAGUCUGGAUCAUCUAAGGACAUGUGCUGGCACAGCACAAGCCUACAGGUUUGCAGACAUCAAACAUUGUAUAAAGAGAACACAGUGCACCUACUCAAAGUGAGUCACUAUUAGAUAAAUUUUGAAAACAACAUGGGAUUAUUGAUACUAUAAAUGCAUUUACUAUUUGAAAAACAUCAACAGGGUCUUUUAGAGAUGCCUCAAACUCACCGGAAUAUUGCAUAAGAAAUUCAGAGUAAACAAGCACAUUUGUAAGAAAAGCUAAGAGAAGUUAAAUAUAGGUAAAUGUGUGUUGAAAGCCAAGGCAUGAUUUAAGUUUAUCUAUUAUCAAGAGACAUGUAUUUACAUCAAGUAGUAAAAUUACAUUACUGAAAAGAUAAGAAAAGCAACAACCUUAUCUAAUUAAGAGCCUCUAGCAUUACUGGGACUCCUAAUUCUCUCCAGUCUACUUGUAUCUGCUCUCAAACAGAUGUGUAUUUCACUGAGCUCUCUGCAAAUGUGAUAAUGUUAUGCAACAAGGUAACAAACCUUAGAGUCAUCCUUGACUCAUUUCUUUUUCUCAUGCCAUCAUGUAUUCAGUGGAUCUUCUUGGAUCUACCUUCAGUAUAUAUGAGAAUCCCCCACCUUUCUUAUCACCUCCAUUACUAUCACUCCAGUUGGAGCUAUCAGCAUCUCUCACUUGGAUUUCUGCAACUGGCAUCUGAUUGGUCUUCUUGUUUCCACUUUUGCCCAUCCAUUAUCAAUGCAGCAGCUGACUGAUUUUUAUUUUUAAUAAAAUGUAUUCUUCUAUUUUUUUUUUUUCUUGUCCUUUUAGGGCUGCACCUGUGGCAUAUGGAGGUUCCCAGGCUAGGGUCCAGUUGGAGCUGUAGCUGCUGCCUAUGCCACAACCACAGCAACCCAGGAUCUGAGCCGUGUCUGUGACGUACAUCACAGCUCAUGGCAACACUAGAUCCUUAACUCACUGAGCGAGGCCAGGAAUCAAACCCCUGUCCUCAUGUGUGCUAGUUGGGUUCGUUAAUUGCUGAACUAUGACAGGAACACCCUAUUCUUCUAUUCUUCUGUUCAACAUUCUGCAAGGGGUUUCCAUUUCUACCAGCAUAGCAGCCAAAUAUCUACAAUGGCAAAUAAGAUCCUCAUGUGAGCUGGCCUUUGUUACCUGCCUGACCUCACCUUCAGUCUCUUUCCUUUUUCUCUCUGCUCCAGCCACAAUGGGCUUCCUGAUCCACGAAUAGAUGUACCAGGCACACCAGGUACUUGUUAUUCAUGCGAUCCACUGUGUAGAAUGUUUUUCUCCCCUAAAGAAGUUUGCUUCUUUAAGUACCUUUUAUGUGUUGUAGGUACAGGUUUCUUUUAAAUACCUCUGGAUUUCUCUUUAUGUUCUUUAUAAACUUGAGUGAAGGGAAAAUAUAGGCAUAUAAGACUAAUAAUGAAGAAUGUAAAUUUCUCUUCAUCCUUUUGGUUCGAAUAGAAAGACAUUUAAGUAGAACUCUGCUGAUCCUACUGAGUAAUGGAUGGUUAAGGAUAUCAUCCUUAAUGACUAAUUAUGUAAAAUAUGACUAGUCCUCAUCAACAUUUUAAUUUCUCUUCUUCAUCCAGGGCUAUGGGAGGAUUACAGUUUCAUGCCUUACUGAAGUUUGGUUGUCACCGUAUAACUUACUGUGGCCAUAUGAGAAGGUGUUAACAGAUAUACUCUUUGUCUAUCUAAGAGCCAGCGUGCAGUUAUCCAUGCUUUCUUCUCCGUCAUGAACCCUGAGUUCAUGAAGAGAUGGCUGUAUCACAAGAUGGUUCAAUUCUCAUUCUCUGAACUGUUUCAGUAACUAUGAGGACCAGAAUCUCUACUGAAUCAUAUCAGACAGAUUUUUAAGUUGUUAUUACAGCCUGGCCUAACUUUUUCUUGAAUGCUAUACCAUCGUUUUAAUUCAUUUAUCGUGUUUACCAGGGUUAUAAUGAAGAGUUUAGAAAACUAACAGGAAGUAAUGAGGAAAAUAUUUCAUUCAGUUAAUAUGUAUUAAUGUCUACUUUCUAGAUACUGGAAUAUAGUGAUAAAUGAAAUUUCUUGUCUUCAUAGAGCUAACAGUCUAGGAGAGGUUGGGGUCAGGUGUCGGGUAGAGGGAAUUAUAGGACAAACCUCCUGCCAUAAGGGAAACCCAGGUCAGUGUGAUGAGGAUGAAGGACCGAGGCGUGCAGGACCAAGUAGGAGAUGAUGUCAAAAUAAGUUAUGACCAAUUUAAGGUGAGAGGUCAUCAGAGGACCUUUAGAACUCAGUCCUGGGAAGUGGGAAAAGUGGGUACUGUGAAGUUGUGGAAGAGAGCAGGCAUCCAGGUGAAGAAUUCAAGAGAAUAGUCAACUUGAAGUCCCCUAUGUAGACUGAAUAGAGUGAGAUAGGCUGCAGGCUGCCUUAGAGAUGGAGGAUGAAGUGAAUGAGAUUGAGAGCAAGUCCUCUGCAGUGGUGCAGCAUGGGAGUAGGAAAAGGGAGACUACCUGAAAGUGACUGGGAUUUGGUAGCGGAGCAGCAGAAUUGUAUUUUCCAAACUCUACUAGAUCCCAGGACCAGGGCUGGGGAAUUCCCACUUAUUCUACUUCACUGAAGCCAGGAAAGGGCUAGGAUGCUUUUAGAAAGCUGGAACUUUCUUCUAAUACUUAGAAUAGACCUAGGGAUACAUAGGUACUAAAAGGUGGUAGAAGAAACAUGGGCAGUUCUUUGGAGAGAGAAGUUUAUCUUUCCUUUUGCAUAGGGAAAAACAGGGAAAUUAUAAUAAAUAUGUCACCACAGAGAAAGGAAGAACAGAAACCAGAAAUAAUGAUUUUGAUAUGGGCUCUCUCAGAUUCCUGGUUAUAUGUAAUAUAUAAAGAUAAACUACCACCAAGAUGCUUUGACAGAAAGAAAUGUUCUAACAGACAUGAAAGAAAUGUUUAGUAGAAUUAAUUGGAGUGAAGAUGGAGCAGAUGUUAACAAUGAGAAUUUUAUUAAGAUAUAGAUGCGUAUACUGAAGAGCAUUUACACUGAAUGAAUGAAAACAAUGCCAAUUAAAGCUGUUUCAGGCAUAUUAGAAUUCAUUGAAUUAAACUGAUUUUUCUACUCAUUAUGAAUAGAGAUUUAAUCCCUCACUUGUUCAUCUUCUUCAAACUCAAAGCAGAGUUAUUCAUAAAGAAAGAAGAAGAACUGAGAGUAGUGGGAUUAUGCAAAGAAUGGACUAGAAGGAGUGAGGUAUAAUGGAGAGAUGUAAGCCUAUAAUUAAUGGCACUGAGAAUGGCUGAUGUCAGGCAAUUACUAUACAAUAGUACUUUAUUAUUUCAAAUUCGUCUAAAGAGAGCUUGAAAGUACCCAUCAGCAUCUCUUGUUAGUAAAUAGGUUAACUGAUCCACAAAUUUCACGUGUCAUGAUUUCAGUGGGAAAUAACUUCAGGAUGGAGAUUGAAGCUAUAGAGCCUUGCUUCUCCCCUAGGCUUUUAAUUGUGAGGCAUUGUUCUUCACCCUCCUUUACCUCAACUUCAACAGCAUUCAGACAAAUUAGUUAAUUAUAUGGGUUAGUAGGUCAUCAAAACAUGUAUAAUUGAACAAACCAUAUGCAAAUCAAGGCUAAAUUAUUUGUAAUUAAAUAAUGAUUGCAAAAUUGGAUUCUUUAGUGGCACCCAUUAACAAAGGUCUAUUAAAUACUUAAAUUUGGAAAAAUAAUUUGCUUUCUGGAAGCUUGGGGUUAGUAGAUGCAAAUUAUUAUAUUUAGGAUGUGUAGACAACAAGGUCCUACUGUUUAGCAGAGAGAACUGUAUCCAAUCUCCUGGGAUAGACCAUGAUGGAAAACAAUAUUUUUAAAAAAGAAUAUGAAAAAAAGAAUUUUCUUUCUAAAGUAGUAUCACUUUCUGCCCAAUUUUAUAUCUCAGUAACUGAUACUUAUCUUCCAUACUUAGCUUUUCCCAAACAUUUUCCCUAAGUUCCUCUAUACCACCAUCACACAAAAGAUUAAACUUUUUCUUGUGUGCUAGUGACAGCUCUGCUUCAGCAGUUUUCACUUUGAUUCAUACAACUUCAUUUCUUUGUCUCUAUUCCUAUACUGGAAAUCCUUUAAGGAUGAAUUGUAACUUAGGCAUCUCUUUUUCUCUAGGGUUUGGUAGACUGCAUGGUAUUAGUGUGUCUUCAAAAUUUUAUUGCUUAAAAAAGGAAUGAAUUAAUGAGAUAUAAAGAAUUAAAAACUUCAGCAUUUGGGGAACUAAAAAAGAGAUUUAUGCCAUGUAAAUCUCAUGUAAAAUGAAUUAUUCUAGUAUCAAAUUGUGUCCUAGGAUGACACUAAUAUAGAAGAAGGAUUUGCAGUGAGUUUCAUUCUGUGGCUCUAUAGAAUCUUAGGAAAUUCUUUUAACUACUUUAUCUGCUAAAAAAGGAUGAUAAUACCUAUCACUUAUUCUUCUUAUCUGCUUUAGUUUUGCUUUGUGUUUAAGAGAAUUGAAUAAUUAUGUGUUUGUGUGAGUGUAUGUGUUCUGUGUGUGUUUGUAUUCUGAUACACAUAGUGUGGUAAACAUUUAAGUUUCUAUUGAUACAUUAAAAGUGGUCCUCUAUAAGAUAAGAUUAGAAAAGGCAAAUUCAUCAAUUUCAAGGACCCCCCCUAUUUAAUGUCAGGAUUAAGUGUAUGAAUAGUACAUACAUUUUACUAUUAAUUUUAAACUGAAUAAAAUUUUUUUUCUUGUAGGGUACUGUUACUUUCAGUAAGCUUGAGAUGUUGAUGAGAAAGACAGAAAAUUCUGUUUUUUUUUUUCUUUUUAAAAAUCUGGUAUACUAGGUUUAUUGCAAUGAUUAGACAUAAGAGAGGUAUAUACUCAAUCAAAUAAACCAAUUUUUUUAUGUUCUCCUUCAAAAUAAUUCAAAUGUUUACAUUUUUAUAUAAUUGGACUCAGUACAAAUUUAAUUUUGAAUACUGUUUCUUUCACUUACAUUAUAUCUUGAACAUUUUCUCAUGUUGCUACAUGAUUUCCUAAUAACAUUUAUCUCAAGUAUAUUACCAUAUUUCAUUUAAAUAUUUCACUAACUCUGCAUAUUUUUAUUGUUGCUAAAUGUGGUAUUAUAAAUUAUAGGGCAAGGGGCAUCUUUCCAUAAAUAGGUUUUCCUUCUUUGGGAUUAUUUCUUUGGAUUAAAUUUCUAGCAAAGGGAUAAUUAAAUCACUGGGCUAAGUUUAUCUCCAAAUAUAUCUAGAGAGGAAAUGACAAAUAUUUUCCUUCUUAAUAAAGAAUUCUUCUGUUGAGAAUCAAAAUCCUGAAGCUAAGUUAAAUUAAUGACCACUAAUAAUUUGUGAUAUUUCAUGAAUAAUCAAAACCAUUAAGC
RNAcentral lists this long non-coding RNA (5931 nucleotides) under Sus scrofa (pig). RNAcentral describes it as "lncRNA (ENSSSCG00000056877.1)". The record is from RNAcentral. Lineage: Eukaryota; Metazoa; Chordata; Mammalia; Artiodactyla; Suidae.